CAAUAUGCAGUUGAAAUCAAGACGUAAACGUAAACUGAAAUCUGACGAUUGUGCGAGGAAAGCCGAUUUACGUCUAAAUGCAGUUUUACGUCUAAAUGUUGAAACUCGUUCGUAAAAUUGCAGAAGACAGUUUGCAGUUAUAAAUAGAAUCAAACUGUAAGUGUAAACUGCAAAGAAACUCGUUCGCAAAAGCACAGAGAACAGUUCUGCAGAAUCAAAACGUAAACGUAAACUGUAAUGUACUAAAACACGACUUUACGUCUGAAUGUAGAUUCGAAGAACAAGCACUUAGAACUUGUUCGUGAAAGCGCAGAGAGCAGUAGUAGUGGAGGAGGUUUGCAGUAAAGAUAAAGUGCUCAAAGAUAAACGCAAACCAGAGAUUUAGAGUGGUUCGGUCAGUCCUGACCUACUCCACUUUUGGCUUCCUCCACCGACGAGGUUGCCGACGUCAACUAGGAGCCUUCCUUCAAUAGGCGAAGGCCAACUACCCUCUUACAGAUUCACUCCUUUUGACGGGCUCAGGAGACAACCCUUACAAAUGUUUUCUCUCCUCUCUUUACAACUCAAACUUGAAGAAUAGAAGGAGGAGGAAAACUAGCAGUUUUGAGCUCUAAGAACCACUGAAAAGAUCAAGAUUUCGGCUUGAGUUCUUACUCUCUCAGUGCUGAAUGGGUGGGGUAUUUAUAGGCCCCAACCCAAUUCAAAUUUGGAGCUCAAAACGAUCAAAUCCCGGAAUUCCGGGAUCAGGCGGUUGCACCUCCUGACUGGAGAGGUUGCACCGCCUGGCAGAGCUCGAAGACCGAG
Molecule: long non-coding RNA, 804 nt
Filed under: Musa acuminata (dwarf banana)
Lineage: Eukaryota; Viridiplantae; Streptophyta; Magnoliopsida; Zingiberales; Musaceae
Description: long non-coding RNA (MACU_LNC009228)
Source: RNAcentral